RNAcentral lists this ribosomal RNA (406 nucleotides) under uncultured bacterium. RNAcentral's name for it is "partial 16S ribosomal RNA". It matches the Rfam family "Bacterial small subunit ribosomal RNA", at positions 30 to 526 of the family's 1533-position model. The record is from RNAcentral.
AUUGAACGCUGGCGGCAGGCCUAACACAUGCAAGUCGAGCGAGCGGCGGACGGGUGAGUAAUGUCUGGGAAACUCCCUGAUGUAGGGGGAUAACUACUGGAAACGGUAGCUAAUACCGCAUACCAUCGGAUGUGCCCACAUUGGAUUAGCUCGUAGGUGGGGGAAAGGCUCACCUAGGCGACGAUCCCUAGCUGGUCUGAGAGGAUGACCAGCCACACUGGAACUGAGACACGGUCCAGACUCCUACGGGAGGCAGCAGUGGGGAAUAUUGCACAAUGGGCGCAAGCCUGAUGCAGCCAUGCCGCGUGUAUGAAGAAGGCCUUCGGGUUGUAAAGUACUUGCAGCGGGGAGGCGUUACCCGCAGAAGAAGCACCGGCUAACUCCGUGCCAGCAGCCGCGGUAAUUC